GUUAUGGAGUUUUACAAAACAAAAGGGUAUUUCGGUAAUUUCAUGAAAAAUGGGAUAUUUUGAAAUGGUUACAUUUUUGGUGUUAAAUGGUGUGCCCAAGGCCCCCCUGAUUUUGGUCCCCCCGACUCUCCCCUCUCAUUGCCUGUCACGUGGCAUCCCACUCCCCUCCCUUUCUUUCUUUCUCUUUUCCCUCCCCUCCCCGUUAACCACUCUCGGACCAUUCUCUCUACUCUCCGUGCGCUUUCCUUCUCCUCUCUGAAAACAACACACACACACAUACACACCCAUACAUACUUAUAUGGAUGCACCAAGUCGCCAUCUCAGCGAAGGAAGAAGGAUCCUCAAUGGAUACCAACCUUCGAACCCAUAACCUCGUGGAACAACGACUUCCUCCUCCGGCGAACCCUCAACCAUGGUGCAUUUAUUGUGGCGUUUUCGUCUUCGCUAGUUUGCGUGGCUCUUCGAUGAUAGAGUAUCGGCUAAGAAGCCUAACAGAAGCAAGAGAGCCUAUGACGAGGCAAAAACAGCGAAGCUAAACACAAAGUAAAGCAGUGAGCGGGGAUACAAACCACAAACACUUGCACUAAGUAAAAGUGUCACCCCAAACCCACCACAAACGGCUAAUGAGGACAAGGAAGACCAUCAUUACAUAAAACAUCAACUAAUGAAGAUGGGGGUCUAUUAACCCACACUAAAUGCGUACUUAGUGGUCACUGUUCUGCCUAUGGGGCGAAUGAUAUUUCUAUUGGCUUCGGGCCGGACAUUUAUAUUAGCUUCGGGUUAGGCAUUUGUAUUGGCUUCGGGCUGGAAGAGAUAAGUAGAUGGCUUCGGGCCGGGAGAUAUUUGUAUUGGCUUCGGCCGAGAGAUAUAGUGCUUCCGGCGAGUAUGAUACCAUUAUUUAGCACACUUUAUAUAAUAUAUGUUUUAUGAAA
Malus domestica (apple) is the source of this 932-nucleotide long non-coding RNA. RefSeq lists it as uncharacterized. NCBI's taxonomy places the organism in Eukaryota, Viridiplantae, Streptophyta, Magnoliopsida, Rosales, Rosaceae. The record is from RefSeq and is a predicted model, not a curated record.